ACAGUUGUGGCCGAGUGGUUAAGGCAAUUGACUAGAAAUCCACUGGGGUCUCCUCGCACAGGUUCGAAUCCUGUUGGCUGUG
Non-coding RNA from Ixodes scapularis (black-legged tick), 82 nucleotides. Lineage: Eukaryota; Metazoa; Arthropoda; Arachnida; Ixodida; Ixodidae. The record is from Rfam.